UGGGGAAUAUUGCACAAUGGGCGAAAGCCUGAUGCAGCAACGCCGCGUGAGUGAUGAAGGUCUUCGGAUUGUAAAGCUCUGUCUUUUGGGACGAUAAUGACGGUACCAAAGGAGGAAGCCACGGCUAACUACGUGCCAGCAGCCGCGGUAAUACGUAGGUGGCGAGCGUUGUCCGGAUUUACUGGGCGUAAAGGGUGCGUAGGCGGAUGUUUAAGUGAGAUGUGAAAUACCCGGGCUUAACUUGGGUGCUGCAUUUCAAACUGGAUAUCUAGAGUGCAGGAGAGGAGAAUGGAAUUCCUAGUGUAGCGGUGAAAUGCGUAGAGAUUAGGAAGAACACCAGUGGCGAAGGCGAUUCUCUGGACUGUAACUGACGCUGAGGCACGAAAGCGUGGGUAGCAAACAGGAUUAGAUACCCUGGUAGUCCACGCCGUAAACGAUGAGUACUAGGUGUAGGAGGUAUCGACCCCCUUCU
This 472-nucleotide ribosomal RNA is filed under the name uncultured bacterium. RNAcentral's name for it is "partial 16S ribosomal RNA". It matches the Rfam family "Bacterial small subunit ribosomal RNA", at positions 355 to 842 of the family's 1533-position model. The record is from RNAcentral.